Rattus norvegicus (Norway rat) is the source of this 186-nucleotide non-coding RNA. Lineage: Eukaryota; Metazoa; Chordata; Mammalia; Rodentia; Muridae. The record is from RefSeq and is a predicted model, not a curated record.
AAGAAUAUGAAUCAGCAGUGAGCAGUGACUGGCCUUGAGGACGGCCUCCCUGGCCUACCUUCUGCUUUCCUGGAAAAGAUGAAUAUACAUCAUUUGAACCUAUUUUGAGUUUUCUGUUGUUUUGUUUGCCUAAUUUUGUUUUUAUAGCCUAAAAUAAAAAUAUGACACAGUCUUAAAAAAAAAAAA